Long non-coding RNA from Pan troglodytes (chimpanzee), 167 nucleotides. RefSeq lists it as uncharacterized. The record is from RefSeq and is a predicted model, not a curated record. The transcript is spliced from 3 exons. Lineage: Eukaryota; Metazoa; Chordata; Mammalia; Primates; Hominidae.
CGGGCUGCUUCUCUCUCUGGGAGACUCCUACAGGACAACCAGGGACAAUCAUCUUCACAGGAACCUAUCCUCCCUGCUGGUAAACCUAAUCCUAUAGAUGCAAGAAGGCCUGUAUAUACAGAAGCAAUCCUGCAGUCAGCAAUGGAGCCUCUCUUCUCUUAAGUGAC